Long non-coding RNA from Ornithodoros turicata, 322 nucleotides. RefSeq lists it as uncharacterized. The record is from RefSeq and is a predicted model, not a curated record. The transcript has 2 exons. NCBI's taxonomy places the organism in Eukaryota, Metazoa, Arthropoda, Arachnida, Ixodida, Argasidae.
UCAAUUUUUGUACGGUGCAAAUCCGCUGACCACAUUUGAACGGUAGCGCAGUACUGAACAGAACUAGCGAUGAACCUGGAAUCAAGAUGUCGGUAAAGAGUGUCACAAGGACGGCUCCGGUGGUGAGGAACCCCAGCACUAGGGCAAGGUAGCCGUAGGCCAGGACAAACAUGCCAGCCCACAGUGUUUGUGCCACGACGACAACAAUCAUGCAGCAUCCUGGGCACGUUCUGCCACUGGGCUUAUCAUACAGGCAGCUCUGUCUCCGUUGCCACAGCAAAGAUGCCAGAGACAGCACAAAGGGGAGGUACCCGAUGAGCAU